AACGCACCUUGCGCUCCUUGGUAUUCCGAGGAGCAUGCCUGUUUGAGUGUCAUUAAAUUCUCAACCUCACCAGUUUUGUAACGAGACUGCGUAAGGCUUGGAUGUGGGGGUUUGUGCAGGGCUGCCUCAGUGCGGUCUGCUCCCCUGAAAUGCAUUAGCGAGUUCAAACUGAGCUCUGUCUAUUGGUGUGAUAAUUAUCUACGCUGUGGACUUUGCUUAGACUUGCUUCUAAUCGUCCUCACGGACAAUACCUUGACAAUUUGACCUCAAAUCAGGUAGGACUACCCGCUGAACUUAA
RNAcentral lists this unclassified non-coding RNA (298 nucleotides) under uncultured fungus. RNAcentral's name for it is "partial contains 5.8S ribosomal RNA, internal transcribed spacer 2, and large subunit ribosomal RNA". The stretch from base 1 to 52 matches the Rfam family "5.8S ribosomal RNA", at positions 103 to 154 of the family's 154-position model. Lineage: Eukaryota; Fungi. The record is from RNAcentral.